GACGAACGCUGGCGGCGUGCCUAAUACAUGCGAGUAGAACGCUGAAGGAGGAGCUUGCUUCUCUGGAUGAGUUGCGAACGGGUGAGUAACGCGUAGGUAACCUGCCUGGUAGCGGGGGAUAACUAUUGGAAACGAUAGCUAAUACCGCAUAAGAGUAGAUGUUGCAUGACAUUUGCUUAAAAGGUGCAAUUGCAUCACUACCAGAUGGACCUGCGUUGUAUUAGCUAGUUGGUGGGGUAACGGCUCACCAAGGCGACGAUACAUAGCCGACCUGAGAGGGUGAUCGGCCACACUGGGACUGAGACACGGCCCAGACUCCUACGGGAGGCAGCAGUAGGGAAUCUUCGGCAAUGGACGGAAGUCUGACCGAGCAACGCCGCGUGAGUGAAGAAGGUUUCCGGAUCGUAAAGCUCUGUUGUAAGAGAAGAACGAGUGUGAGAGUGGAAAGUUCACACUGUGACGGUAUCUUACCAGAAAGGGACGGCUAACUACGUG
This 495-nucleotide ribosomal RNA is filed under the name uncultured bacterium. Its description in RNAcentral is "partial 16S ribosomal RNA". It matches the Rfam family "Bacterial small subunit ribosomal RNA", at positions 28 to 507 of the family's 1533-position model. The record is from RNAcentral.